UCUCUCUCUCCGUGGGCUUGCAGGCAGGGUACGAAGACCUGAAAUGCCUCAACCACUGCAACGUAAUUAGCACGCAUAAGAGAAAUAUAAUAGGAAACUUUUAAGGAGUUUCUAAGUUCGCAUAUCAAGCGUGGUCUUCUCUCAAAGCUUCAUGCUAUGGAUAAGUUCUAAAAAGCAGGAUAGAAAAGUUAUAGUAGUCAUCGUGCUAGCUAGCAUUUUGCUGGCCAAAUAUUUGAUUCAUCAGUAUUCAGCAUCUUGAACGCAAGUAGUCUGAGGAUUCCGUGAUACAGAUAUCAUGAUAUUAAGACUCCAUUGACUGAAACUUCGCCAUAUUAAACUGCAUGGCAUAAAUCAUUUCCAGGCAGUGAAUUAUUUCACAUUUAUACGUAAACCAUAUAUUUUCGCUUGAUUUUUGGAGCAUUAUUCGCCAUUUAAUGUGAUAAGGAACCGAAUACGGAAUUCAAACUUAGUUUUAAAGUAAUCACAAGCCGUGUUCGUUACAGGUGCUUAUUUAUGCAAGAGGCCCUUUUAUUCUAGCAAAUGUCGGCGUACAAAAUGGAUGGUUUGAGCACUAUUCAAUCAUAAACUUAUUGUUCGUUUGCAAAUAUCAAAUAUCGUUUCACCCAAUAUGUGGACAGGUUAGUGUUAUGAACGCAGGGAAUUGUCUUCUGGCCCACCACCUACAUCAACUCAUUUCCACUUUAAGAGAAAUAUGGUAAACAGAAGAAAAAUAAUGCCGUAUGACCGCUCUCUCGUCCGGUAUUUUACCCAGGGGUGAACUGCUGAUUACUUUAGAAUAAUGAAUAAUUUGAGUAAAUUCAUAGUUAAGAUUAGUUUAAGAAAGUAAGAAUUGUAAAAAUAAAGAAGGCCUUUUCUUUCUUGCGUGAGAGUAUAUAAAAAAACCAAUGAUCUAAGAUAUAUAAUUAAGCUAAAACAAGGAUGCUGCCCGUAUGUUGGGAUGAAGAAUCAAUGACAUGUGAGUGAAAUUAAUUGCUAUUAUCUGCAAACUUAUGGAGGUUUUAUUUCUUUUAUUUUUUAUUUAUUUAUUUAUUUAUUUUACGAUUUAGUAAGCAUCAGUCUUGAGGUACGUACCCACAUGUUUCUUGAGACUUAUUGAUUGAUUGGAGAUCAUCAGGCGUCAUAACUACCCGGGUUAUCGAGAAUUCGCGGCUUUCUACCUCCUUAUCGUGUAGGUCUUUUUUUUUUCUUUUACAUUGCUUGGUUAACAGUACGUCGUCUUUUGAAAGCUUAAAACUUUCAAGAAUGUUUUUUUAUUCCUUUUUCGUUAUUGUAUAGUGCAGUUCUCGGGGUAUGUCGUCUUUCAGAAACUCGAGACGUUCUUUUUUUUUUUUUACUGAUUGCAAUUAUCAGUUCUUGAGAUCUAGUUUACUUCCUUUCGUGUUUUUCGUUAAUAGAGCUUUCACAUUCCAUUAAGAUAUACCAUUCCUAUUUAUUGUAAAUAAUUGUAGAAAUCUUUGUUACCGUUAAGUGGGUGGGUUAUUUUAAGUUUUUAAUUUUUCCUUUGAUUUUAUUUAUACGUAAUCUGUAUAUAUACAUAUGUAUAUAUAUAUAUAUAUAUAUAUAUAUAUAUAUAUAUAUAUGUAUCUUUUUUGUACAUAAUGUUCAGAUAUGCUCACCUGUACAUAUCAGUGAUUAACUUUUAAGUAUGCAUAUUUUAUGCAGUGUAGAAUUAAUGUUAAUAGGUUGAGUCUUGUAGUAUAAAGCCAAGAAAGCAGAACGUUUAUUUCAAGUUUUCUGCAUUGGAGUGUGUAUAAUCAUAAAAUAUCAUCAAUGACAUGUAUAUACACAUGACUUAAGUCUCAGUAUUAUCUAUAUCAGUGAAAUGUGUGAGUCAGAGGUUAUCCAACUAGGACAAGAAAGCAAUGCAAUUCAUAAAAUAAAAAAAAAAAAUCCAUAUGGAACCGUCAAUUCAAAAGCUGUGAUAACAUUUACAAAAGAGCUUAAGAACAAAAAUAAAAUGGAUAGUCGACAUACU
Long non-coding RNA from Macrobrachium nipponense, 1996 nucleotides. RefSeq lists it as uncharacterized. The transcript has 2 exons. The record is from RefSeq and is a predicted model, not a curated record. NCBI's taxonomy places the organism in Eukaryota, Metazoa, Arthropoda, Malacostraca, Decapoda, Palaemonidae.